Populus nigra (black poplar) is the source of this 833-nucleotide long non-coding RNA. RefSeq lists it as uncharacterized. NCBI's taxonomy places the organism in Eukaryota, Viridiplantae, Streptophyta, Magnoliopsida, Malpighiales, Salicaceae. The transcript is spliced from 3 exons. The record is from RefSeq and is a predicted model, not a curated record.
UUACGUUGAAUUUAGCAACGGAUUUUCCGUUGCUAAUUGAAAAAAAAUAAAUUAAAAUGUUAAAAUUAUGUAGACCGUUGAUUGCAUAAAAUCUGAACCGUUUAUUUUCACUCUCUCCCCCCACACCGAAAUACAGAUCCAACAACCAUUUACGCUGAAAAUUAAUUUACUUCCACUCUUCCAGUAUCCUUCUUCGUCCCUAAUAACAUCGAUUCCUAACUGUUCAAAAAUCACCCUCUCUUCAUCGAUUUCAUCUUCCUUUACCCGAAACUGUUCAUCAUCUUCGCACUCGUCUUCGGCAACCCUAUUUUUUUUCUUCAUCUUCUUCUCCUUCAUCUUAACAGUUUCAAUAUUUCUCUGCAAACCAACAAAAACAGAGACCCAUGGCAACAUCGCACCAGAUCCAUCGAUUUCACCAUCGAACAUCCUGUUUUACCCCUUCUCUGUAAACGGGUUAGGUUUUGCACUGUUUUCUUCGAUAGCUCAGGUGUUAUUCUGUCGUGUUGAUCCAUCUCCCUCACCUGUAACUGAAGAACACAGGUUUUUAAGCGUGGCAUCAAGUUAUCUUCCUCAAUAAUUAAUCAGCCUUUGGGUUCUUCUUGGCACGAAAGCGGUGUGUUGCGUUCUUACUAUUAUUUAAUAUGGUCUCCUUAAUGCUUUGUCCUUUUGAGGUCUUGUGCUCUUAUACUACAUGUCAUUUACAUGGAAUAUCAUUUAAUGCAUCCAGCUUCCUUUGUUCAUGCAAUUUUUCUACAUGUCAUUUACUGUUUUUAUACAAACUGUUACCAUUUUCUGCAUCUGCUACCAUUGUUAAUUAGAGUUAAUUAAUUUAG